Vespa velutina is the source of this 2715-nucleotide long non-coding RNA. RefSeq lists it as uncharacterized. The record is from RefSeq and is a predicted model, not a curated record. Lineage: Eukaryota; Metazoa; Arthropoda; Insecta; Hymenoptera; Vespidae. The transcript is spliced from 4 exons.
GACACGUUUAAUUUGAUUCAUAGUUUAUCGGUAUGUAUUUAUAUAAAUUGUACUUUCCGAUGUAGGAGGACAUGUUUUAUCGUUGAACGUUAUUGAAAUAUUUUUGAAUGUCAAUAUGAAUGUUAUUUCAAAAUCUCUUUCAUUCGUUAUUUUAAUAUUUGAAAUUAUAUUAUUUUAUAAUUCGAUAAGAUUCGUAACAAUUCAUUAUACUUGUUACGAAUUACAAUAAAUAUUAAGAUUCUUUAACAAGAUAUUUUAAUUUCAACAUACACAAGAUAUAUAAAGACAUUUCGAUAUAUUUUUCUUUCAUCAUCAUCCGACGGCUAACAAUACCAACCGCAUUAUAACGAAAUAGAAACAUUCGCGAGUGUUAUGAGAACUAAAGAAUGAUAUUCCUUAGAAAGAAAGUCGUCCGCACAUAUAUAGAGUUGAAAAAUGAAAAUACUAAUCAAGAUGGAGCAUCUCAACAAAUGUUUCUGGCAAAAGGGAAGAAAGAAGAAAGAAUGAGAAAGAGAAAGAGAAAGAGAAAAAGAGAGAGAGAGAGAGAGAGAGAGAGAGAGAGAUGAAGGAAAAGGAUUUACGAAAGCAGUGCGUACCACGUGUGCGUCAUAAAUCAUUUGGCUGACUCCUCUAAUUAUAAGUAUGACUAUCGCCGCUAUCGCAUCGUCGCGCGUAUAAUGCCCGAAGGCUGAAUAACAGUGAGCUUCACCGCGAUAACCGUGUCUUUUUCUUCGAGAGAGAGAGAGAGAGAGAGAGAGAGAGAGAGAGAGAGAGAGAGAGAGAGCAAAAGAAGAAGACGAAGGAUAUGGAGAAGAUGAAGAGAGGACGAGAAAAGGAAUAAGAAAAAUAAAAAGAAAAAUCAAAGGAAAAGAAACGAAUGAAAAGAAGAAGAAGAAGAAGAGUCACGCAAAAAGGGCCGACAGAUGAAUUCCACCGUACGAAGAAUGAAGACUCCCCGUGUACAGAGAAACGCUUUGAUUUCCACACAUGGUUCCUUUUCCAUGAAACUUUUCAUCCUGAUGUUCGGUGGAUCAGAAAAAAAGAUAAACUAAGUGUCGUGCGUCCUACCACGACAACGAAACAGGACAUAGAAUUAAGCAAACUACCUGGAUGACACCUGGAAUGACGUAUUGCAGGAAAGUGAGCGGAGUUUAUAUUUUACGAGGUUGCCUCGUAAAUAGCUUCGUAGCUUAACAACCGAACACCUCGAGGACAAGAGCCGCACGUUACCCCAAGCAGUGCCGUAACACGCGACACCCUCAUGAACACCUUCUGCUAUUCUCGAGUCAUCUUUAUUAUCGCCAAUUUAUUACUCUUUUAUAGCAGUCAUGCCUGUUCACAAUCUUUCGGUAUAUUCUUAAAAGAUCUUAAAACUUACUUUCUCUAAAGGUCCUAAGACAUAUUUAUUAAUAUUAAUUUCAUAGACCUUAAUAAUAAAAAGAAUAUUAUGGUCAUAUAUUUGCUGUCAGUUGGGUACUGUCAUCAGUGAAGGUACAAAGGAAAAGAGAAAAAUUAUUUAAAAUAAAAUCCAGGAUUUUACUUUUUCCAAAUUUCUUCGUGUAUGAAACUUUUAAGAAUGUAGGAUCAUAAAACUUUCUCUUUGCGCAUUUUGAACAAACGUAAGAUUUACGUUCGACUUACAUGUAACAUUGGAAAUUUACAACGGUCCCCAACAAUAUCGACCGUAACGACCUUUUAAAUUUUAAAAAGCAUCUUGAAAGUUUGUUUCUAUUUCUAUACAAUUCAUUGUAUAAGUAACAUGUCAGCUUCUUAAAAGGUCACUAAAGGAUAAUCAGGUAACAAAAAGAGAAAGGAAAGAAAAAAGAAAGAAAGAAAGGAAAAGAAAAAGGAAAGAAGAUAGAAAUGUACAAAGAUUUAAAAUUAUUUUCUUGAAAAUAUUUUCUUUAAAAUUACUUUCUUGAAAAUUAUUUAUUUAAUAUUUAUAUAUGUACGUACGAAGUAUGAGGAUAAAAAAAAAUUGUGAAAUUAUUCGAUAGUACGAUUUGAAUCACGCACAUUGUAUUUAUCGUAUAGAAUUCUUUCAUAUGUGACAAAAUUUAAGCAUGAAGCAAUGAAUUUGCUAAUUACUUAAGGUUCACCCGAAUUAAACGGAACGAUUUUCGUCGAGACCGCUGAAUAAAAUUGGGGAUCCAUGUUCCGUGAAAUGAAUCAUACGUUCAAAGGACGACAUAUGUGCCCCUGUUUCCUUUUCGUUCGCUGAAAAAGGCAAUGGGGAAACUUUGAUACCCAAGAGGAGAAGGGGAGGGGGCGGUUCUCCAGCAUCCAUUUGGAAAAAUUGGGAAUAUCGGGAUCAAGCCAGACGGUUUGCUCGCUAUUAUUCUCAGAUUGAUUUAUAUUUUGUUUGUUCUGUACGGUACCACUACUGUUAUAAUACUGACUUUUCCGAUCUAUGGAUCUGUCUAUUAGCGAAAAGACCGAUAAAACGUUUGGUAAAAACUUUCAAUCAUUAUAUUGUUCGAUUUGACAGUGUUCGAUUUUAUAUAAGCUUUUUAAAAUCCAAUGUUGCAAACUCGAAAGGAUAGAUCAUUAAACAAAUCAUAUGGAUACGUAUAGAAUCAAGGAUUUUAUUGAAUCUUCUCAAACAAAACGGGAGAAUCUUAAGGAAAAUAAAAGCUAAAUAAAUAUUUAAAUGGAUAUGGUUUGGGUAUAUAAUAUAGAACAGAUUUCUUAAAAUUUUAAUAAUUCAUAUUUAUU